This 4962-nucleotide long non-coding RNA is filed under the name Papio anubis (olive baboon). Its description in RNAcentral is "lncRNA (ENSPANG00000042108.1)". The record is from RNAcentral. Lineage: Eukaryota; Metazoa; Chordata; Mammalia; Primates; Cercopithecidae.
GGUGGGCCAGGAAGGCAACCAGCCAGAGAUCAAGAUUGCACCUGUCCCAAGACUGGAAGACUGGGUAUAAAAACAGAACAGUGGACACAACUCCAAGAGAAGGUUUUGACCAAAUGUCUUGAAUCAUAGAAGAUUUGACUGUAAACCUACUCCACAGUUUCUAUUCGGUGGAUGAUUUUGCUGAACUGAGCUAAGAUAGAAUUGGAUAUUGAAGAGCUAAAGUGUGUUGACUUUUAAAAAUUUUUUAUAAGCUCAACUUUGAUUUUAGAUUCAGGGGAUACAUGUGCAGGUUUGUUACAUGGCUGUAUUGCGUGAUGCUGAGGUUUGGCGUGUGAAGGAUCCUAUCAUCCAGAAUCCUCCAAACAACCUCAAUGAUCAGCCAAGUGGAGCUGGGGAAGUGGAGCUCUGCACCCAAGCUGAGCUCCAAGUGCCAAGAGCAAAUAGAAGAGCUGGGAAAAGAAGCAACUUGUCAGCUGUAUUUCUGCGAACUCUCGGUUCUCUGGCCUUCAGACUCCAGGACUUGCAGCAGUCACUCCCUGCCCCUCGCAGGUUCUCAGGGCUUUGGCCUUGGCCUGAGAGUUACCCCGUUGGCUUUCCUGGGACCCGACCUUGCAGGACACACAUUGCGGGACUUCUCAACCUCCACAGUCACACUUUGAAUGUUUGAGACUACCUUGGCCACCAGAGUGUGUUACCUGGAAGUUUGGUCCCAAGCAAGAAGCCACUGGGAGAGACAGCAAGGCAACUGUAUGCACACGCAAUGAACACUGAGACUGAUAUCACUGAGACUUUCAGAGGACAAUGGACUCAUGGAUCUCAUGUCUUUCCUAGACUCUGUUCUUUGCCCUUGGGUCUUCUCUACUCAGGCUACCUGCCCCCAAAUGCUCCAUCCUCACCAAAAUAUAAAGAUUGAGAAGAAAGUGGGACAAAGGGUGUGGAAUAAAAAUGUAAGAUUGGCUAUCACCCCAAGGUGAUCAAAUCCAAUGUUGGCUUUGCUCCAGUGGAUCUGAGACCGAUUUCGUAUCAGUCCCAGAGCACAGCAAGGCUGUUCAGGCUCUUGUAAGUGAGGACCUGUGGUUGAAGAGUAAAUUUUUUGUGGCUUUAAUCCUUCUGUUCUCUGGGCUGGACGGUCAUGAUGGUACAGUGGGAAUACCUUGGGCCUGGCUGCCAGGUCGGCCUGCACAAAGAUGCCUGUCCCUGUGGGAGGGGUGCAGACAUUGUGCAGCUUGCACACAAGAACAGAACUAGGGUUUCUAGCAGCAGAAAUGAGUCAUACAGAGAGCCAUUUAGAGGUUGCUCAAUACAGUUCUUGGUUGAGUAAUGGCAAUUAGUGUGGAGGCAAAUUAGAACAACAGUGACAGUGUUGAUUACGAAGCAAAUGAAAAAGCGCAAAAGGAGAGCAUUUUCUUGGAGUGCCUCAAAGAAUUCUGCAUUUAAUUAUGUGCCCUCUCAGUGUUAGAGAGAGUGAGAUUUCAUUGGAAAACACUGGAGGGUCAUUUGUGGCGGAACAGAAGCCUCUGGUACAGACAGGAAGCAAAUGAAUGGCAGGGGAUGUGAGUUUGGGUGGAAGGGCUGUUAUGGGGACUCAGAUUGGAUUCCAGAGUCAGGUGCAUUGUGGUCCUUGCCUGAUGCAGGACGUUUGGACUCAGAUUUUUCUGAAGACAGCAUAAGCAGAGAAACAAGGUGUGAAGACAAGUUGGUGUGAGGACGUUGACACCAUGACAAAGUUAUUUACUCUACCCCGUCCCAGUGCCCAGAUGAACAAUAUGAACACGAUAGGGAUGCAGUUCACAUGCAUUCCAUUUUAGAGUUUGCUUUAAAAUUUUAUAUCCAUGUCGUAACCUCCUGAUUAGGAUUUGAGAGAACUGGUUGUCAAAAUGAACUAUAUUUUUAGGAAAGUGUUAUUUUGUGUUAUUCUGAUGCUAUAAAAGCCAAGGUUGUUACACUGAAGGACUCUGUAACAUGAGAAGUGUAUCAUAUUCUAAAUAUCCCCAGGGUGUCUCCUUUGACCUCAGCACUAACAGCUGAUAAUGGCGGGGAUUGCUAUUAUUUCACAUGUGACCAUCCAUGGUGAGACAUACUCACCCACCCAGGGCGAGGGGGAAGAGGGGAAGUUGCCACAUAUUUCCAGCUGGCAUAGUAAUUGUAGUAUUGAGAAGGUAAAAGAUUCAUAUCUAAUCAAAGAACCCCAGAUAAGUGUGUCCUGGGCUGUUGUCCCUGUGGCUUUAACAAGUCACUUGGUGAUGCACAAACUGAAUACAGCUGAACUCUGCCCAGGGCUGUGAUGACUGCUUUUCAUAGCUUUAAAUUCUAUUAAAAACCAGAAUGAAAAUGCUUCUUGUAAAAUGCUUUUCUCUUAAAAACAUAAACAAGAUGAUAUAAUUUAUCCAGAGUUGGGGAAAUACAUCCAGUUUAAAUUUUAUAUACAUUUAAAGGCAGCCUACUUAUAACAGAAAUGAGCUAUCUAGCUCUCUCUCUCUCUGUCUGUCUAUCUAUCUAUCUAUCUAUCUGUCUGUCUUCAUGAUCAUUGUCAUCACCUAUUGUAUUUGCUUUCUUUGCUCUGUAGUAAGUUACCACACACUUAGUGGUUUAAAUCAUCACCUAAUUAUUCUCUCACAGUUCCCUGACUCAGAAGUCUGUGGAGGUUCAGCUGGGCUCUCUACUCAGUGUCUCACAAGGCUGAAAUCAAGAAGUCGGCCCAAUGAGGCUCUUCCCUGGAGGCUUGGAGGAUGAAUCCCUUUCAAGUUUCUUCAGGUGGUUGACCAAAUCCAAUUUCUCACAAUUGUAAGACUAAAGCACCUGUGUCCUUGUUGGAUGUUGGCCAGGGGUUGCUCUCAGCUGCUGGGGUUUCCCUUGGCUCCUAAAAGCCUCUGUCUUAUCUCUGAAUGUGGCCCUGUUCUAAAAUAUAGUGUAUUAAUAGAAAAUUUGAGACUCAGUAAAGCCAACAGACUGGGAGAUAAUUGCCAUUAAAAAUACCGUUUGUUGGCCACAGUUCCCAGAAGAGCAGGUUACACCACAUCACAGGUGGCCACCAAGUGGAUCAGGAGGAAGAGGGAGCAGGAGAAAUGUGGGCAAGAGCCUUCACUGUGGUUGCCAUCAGGAGGGAACAGGUGAAGCAGGGGAGCACGCUCCAGAUUGGUGAGUUUGAAUAAUUUCAGCAGGCUCUGAAGCUUAGGGGCUGUCUCCGGUUGUGGGACCAGUGCAAUUUUCCCAUAGAACUGAAGCUUUAGAAACUUACAUUUGUUUAAUCUGAGUUCCUUUCUCAGGAAACUAAUAGGCCAUCCAGAUAGUACAGUAUCAGGAAACUGAAAUUUCCCAGAUUACUGUAUCUGGACAAUAAGAUGCACCUGCUGCCUGUUAACAAAACUCCUCUUUCUUGUGCCUCCUUAAUUCCCUGCUAUGUAAACCCUUUACUUUAAUCAGAGAUGAAUUUGAGAUUGAUCUUCUGUUUCUGGCUGACGUCACCAGCAUAAAAUCUUUCUUUCCUGGUAACACUUGUUGUCUCAGUGAUUGACUUUCUGUGUGGUGAGCAACUGGACCUAAGCUGAACCCCUAGUUUUUGGCAGCAGUUGUCUGAUAUCUGGCCCUGGGAUGAUUAAGGCAGGGGUGCAUAGUGGUCUUGUGUGAAAAAAGGGAGAUAUUGAGGGUAUGUGCUCUAGAUUGGUUGAUUUGCAUUUAAAAGGCAUAUUUCAGGUGAGCUGUUUGCUAUGUUUAGAACUGGUUAGUCCUGGGAAGGGCAGUCUCUCCAGAGGCAGCCAGGCCCCAGAUGUUAAAGCAUUAAAAUACAGAAAAUAAAAGACAUGAUUAAUACAGUCACCUCCAUUUUCAAAGCCAGCAACCGUGCACGGAAUUCUUCUUGUGCCUUGAUUCUCUCUGACUUCUCAUUCUGCCCCCAUCCAGAGAAAACUCUGUUUUCAGGGCUCAUGUGUUUAGACUAGACCCACCUGGAUAACCUCCCUUCCAAGAAGUCAACCAUUAAAUAACCUUACUUACAGCUGCAAAUUUUCUUUUGCUGUGUGCAUGAUGUCGUCAUGGGAUGAUAUCCCAUUGCAUUCACAGUCCUGGAGAUUAGGGUAGAUUAAAUUAGGGCAUUGGUAGGCCAUGUUGGGAUUCCAUAUAUAUAUAUAUAUGGAAGAUAUGAAAGAAUUAUUAUAUAUACAGGAAGAUAUGGAAAAAUUAUAUAUAUAUAUAUAUAUAGUAGUGUUUGAUCAUUGACGAACAUUUGAGGCUAGGCAUGGCUCAGUGCUUUGGGAGGCCAAGGUGGGCAGGUAAGAUCAUUUGAGGCCAGGAGUUCGAGACCUGCCUGGCCAACAUGGCAAAAUCCCAUCUCUACCAAAAAUAUAAAAAUUGGCCAACGUGAUGGCAUGCACCUGUAAUCCCAGCUACUCAGGUGGCUGAGGUAUGAGAAUUGCUUGAACCGAGGAGGGGGAUGGAGGUUACAGUGAGCUGAGAUUGCACCACUGCACUCCAGCCUGCGCGACAGAGCAAGACCCUGCCCUGUCUCAAAAAAAAAAAAAAAAAAAAAAAAAUUGAAAAAAUAUGAAAAACUACACAGAGGAAAAUAAAAACCACUUAACAUUUUGUCACUAUGAAUAUGUUUCCUUUGAGUUUUUAUCAUCCAUAUUAUUUUCACAGCUAGAAUAAAAAUGUAUUCAUAGUAUGUGUCCUUUUGAAUUUCAAAUAUUUUUCCAUGUCAUUGUACACUCCUCGUAAUGGUAAUUGUUAGCAUCUGUAGAGUAAACAUUUACAAAUGAAUAACUUAAUAUUGGGUAUUUAAGUGAUCUCAAAGCUUUGUUAAUAUUUACGAUUAUUCUGAAGGAAGGUUCCUAGAAAUAGGAUUACUAGCUAGGAAGCUAUAAACAUUUAUGUCUCUUGAUUUAUGCUCUCAAAACAGCAGAAUCUGGUGUCUUUCUCUUUGCCUUCUUGUUUCCUUCCUGUAUCCCUCUCUCCUCCUUUUUUAGU